UCAUAGUAAUGAGGACAACUUCUAAGCAUGCCCUUGAAUCUCUCCCAAGCUUGGUAAAGAUUUUCUCCAAUUUUUUGUUUGAAACUCAAUAUAUCACUCCUCAAUCG
Non-coding RNA from Capsicum annuum, 107 nucleotides. The record is from Rfam. NCBI's taxonomy places the organism in Eukaryota, Viridiplantae, Streptophyta, Magnoliopsida, Solanales, Solanaceae.